GUAGAUCUCCCACCCUUUGUAUACUAUACCUUUGUUGCUUUGGCGGGCCGCCUAGCUACUGGCUUCGGCUGGUAAGUGCCCGCCAGAGGACCCAAAACCCUGAAUUAUUAGUGUCGUCUGAGUAAAAAGUUAAUAUUUAAAACUUUCAACAACGGAUCUCUUGGCUCUGGCAUCGAUGAAGAACGCAGCGAAAUGCGAUAAGUAAUGUGAAUUGCAGAAUUCAGUGAAUCAUCGAAUCUUUGAACGCACAUUGCGCCCCUUGGUAUUCCGAGGGGCAUGCCUAUUCGAGCGUCAUUAUCACCCCUCAAGCGCUUCGGUGCUUGGUCUUGAGGCCUGCCGCAACGGCAGCCUCUAAAAUCAGUGGCAGUGCCGUCAGGCUCUAAGCGUAGUAAUUUCUCUCGCUAUGGAAACCUGGUGGCCACUCGUCAGAACCCCCCCAUUUUUUAAUGAUUGACCUCGGAUUAGGUAGGGAUACCCGCUGAACUUAAGCAUAUCAAUAAGCGGAGGAAAAGAAACCAACAGGGAUUGCCUCAGUAACGGCGAGUGAAGCGGCAAAAGCUCAAAUUUGAAAUCUGGCUCUUUUAGGGUCCGAGUUGUAAUUUGUAGAAGAUGUUUCGGGUGUGGCUCCGGUUUAAGUUCUUUGGAAUAUUACAUCAUAGAGGGUGAGAAUCCCGUAUGUGACCGGCAGCCUUCGCCUAUGUGAAACUC
RNAcentral lists this ribosomal RNA (708 nucleotides) under uncultured fungus. Its description in RNAcentral is "eukaryotic LSU rRNA". The stretch from base 452 to 708 matches the Rfam family "Eukaryotic large subunit ribosomal RNA", at positions 1 to 254 of the family's 3401-position model. The record is from RNAcentral. Lineage: Eukaryota; Fungi.